This 140-nucleotide ribosomal RNA is filed under the name uncultured bacterium. RNAcentral's name for it is "partial 16S rRNA". It matches the Rfam family "Bacterial small subunit ribosomal RNA", at positions 355 to 510 of the family's 1533-position model. The record is from RNAcentral.
UGGGGAAUUUUUUGCAAUGGGCGAAAGCCGGACGGAGCAAUGCCGCAUGGAGGUGGAAGGCCUACGGGUCGUCAACUUCUUUUCUUGGAGAAGAAACAAUGACGGUAUCUGAGGAAUAAGCAUCGGCUAACUCUGUGCCA